UACGUAGGGUGCAAGCGUUAAUCGGAAUUACUGGGCGUAAAGCGUGCGCAGGCGGUUUUCCAAGACAGAUGUGAAAUCCCCGGGCUCAACCUGGGAAUGGCAUUUGUGACUGGAAGGCUAGAGUGUGUCAGAGGGGGGUAGAAUUCCACGUGUAGCAGUGAAAUGCGUAGAGAUGUGGAGGAAUACCGAUGGCGAAGGCAGCCCCUGGGAUAACACUGACGCUCAUGCACGAAAGCGUGGGGAGCAAACAGG
RNAcentral lists this ribosomal RNA (252 nucleotides) under uncultured bacterium. RNAcentral's name for it is "partial 16S ribosomal RNA". It matches the Rfam family "Bacterial small subunit ribosomal RNA", at positions 524 to 776 of the family's 1533-position model. The record is from RNAcentral.